UCUGACACAGUCAGGAGCAUCAGCUCUAAGUCAGUGCUGCAGGGAUCACUUCCAUUUUGAGCAGGCUUUCAGUGUUGGGAGACAUUUCUUCUCCUUUUAUCAUCUGGUCCUCUUGCUCUGUGACCCAGGGAAGAAGGCAUGCUGUGGGCUCUAGCCCUACUUCUAGCCAUCCUGCCUCCUGGUAAGUAUGUGGCAAAGAUGCCCAUGGGAUGUGGUUUUCCCCUCAAAGAGGCCAUAACAAUGAAUCCCAUUACCUUUUAGCCAUUAAUUUUUAUUGUUGUUACCAUUCCAGGCAGUCAAACAUCUUCCAGUUUGGAAAGGAGAAUGAUAUCAGUCACGAGUUCACCUGGGUCAAACGUAGUAAUCACUUGUGAUUUAUCAAGUACCUACAUCCACUGGUAUCAAUUCAAGGAAGGGCAGGUCCCAAGACGCCUCCUCUACUAUAAUAAUUACAAUUACAGGGUUGUGGUGGACUCAGGAAUCAGUUCGACGAAAUAUGAUGCUAAAAUAACAGAUGGGAGUUAUCAAUUAAUAAUACAAAAUCUUGGUGACAGUGACUCUGCUGUGUAUUACUGCGCCUACUGGACUAGCACAGUGGUUCAGACCUGCCUUUAUCUAUACU
Molecule: long non-coding RNA, 622 nt
Filed under: Marmota monax (woodchuck)
Lineage: Eukaryota; Metazoa; Chordata; Mammalia; Rodentia; Sciuridae
Source: RNAcentral